CCUACGGGUGGCAGCAGUGGGGAAUAUUGGGCAAUGGGCGCAAGCCUGACCCAGCAACGCCGCGUGAAGGAAGAAGGCUCUCGGGUUGUAAACUUCUUUUUUGAGGGACGGAGAAAGUGACGGUACCUCCUGAAUAAGCCACGGCUAACUACGUGCCAGCAGCCGCGGUAAUACGUAGGUGGCAAGCGUUAUCCGGAUUUAUUGGGGGUAAAGGGCGUGUAGGCGGGAAAGCAAGUCAGAGGUGAAAUCGCAGGGCUCAACCCUGGGACUGCAUUUGAAACUGUUCUUCUUGAGUGGUGGAGAGGCAAGCGGAAUGCCGUGUGUAGCGGUGAAAUGCGUAGAUAUACGGAGGAACACCAGUGGCGAAGGCAGAUUGCUGGACAGUAACUGACGCUGAGGCGCGAAAGCGUGGGGAGCAAACAGGAUUAGAUACCCGAGUAGUC
This 443-nucleotide ribosomal RNA is filed under the name uncultured bacterium. RNAcentral describes it as "partial 16S ribosomal RNA". It matches the Rfam family "Bacterial small subunit ribosomal RNA", at positions 338 to 795 of the family's 1533-position model. The record is from RNAcentral.